Molecule: long non-coding RNA, 245 nt
Filed under: Lathyrus oleraceus (garden pea)
Lineage: Eukaryota; Viridiplantae; Streptophyta; Magnoliopsida; Fabales; Fabaceae
Description: Pisum sativum (pea) long non-coding RNA (PSAT_LNC004298)
Source: RNAcentral
UUCAAGUAAUACCUAUUUCGUCAAACUUUCUCGGUGUCCCUAGACUUAGCCUCUCAUCUCUCUAACUCUAUAUACUUUUCCAGUUUCCUCAUGAUUAGAGAUUUUUUAAGAAUUUAUUUAACAAUCCUAAUUCAGGAAAAAAUAUGAAAGAGUGGUCUUUUUAAAAGUAAAAUUAACGAAAGCAAAUAAAAGAACAAAAAGCAAACAAACACAAAAAUAGAAAAAUAAAGGAAAAGUAAAGAAAU